This 500-nucleotide ribosomal RNA is filed under the name uncultured bacterium. RNAcentral describes it as "partial 16S ribosomal RNA". It matches the Rfam family "Bacterial small subunit ribosomal RNA", at positions 29 to 523 of the family's 1533-position model. The record is from RNAcentral.
AUUGAACGCUGGCGGCAUGCCUUACACAUGCAAGUCGAACGGCAGCACGGGAGCAAUCCUGGUGGCGAGUGGCGAACGGGUGAGUAAAGUAUCGGAACGUGCCCAGUCGUGGGGGAUAACGUAGCGAAAGUUACGCUAAUACCGCAUACGAUCUAUGGAUGAAAGCGGGGGAUCGCAAGACCUCGCGCGAUUGGAGCGGCCGAUAUCAGUUUAGGUAGUUGGGGGGGGAAAGGCUCACCAAGCCGACGAUCUGUAGCCGGUCUGAGAGGACCACCAGCCACCCUGGGACUGGGAGACGGACCAGAAUCCGACGGGAGGCAGGAGUGGGGAAUUUUGGCCAAUGGGCGAGAGCCUGAUCCAGCCAUGCCGCGUGCAGGAUGAAGGCCUUCGGGUUGUAAACUGCUUUUGUACGGAACGAAAAGGUUUGGCCUAAUAAGCUGAGCUCAUGACGGUACCGUAAGAAUAAGCACCGGCUAACUACGUGCCAGCCGCCGCUGUAA